Molecule: ribosomal RNA, 443 nt
Filed under: uncultured bacterium
Lineage: Bacteria
Description: bacterial SSU rRNA
Rfam family: Bacterial small subunit ribosomal RNA
Source: RNAcentral
GUGGGGAAUAUUGCACAAUGGGGGAAACCCUGAUGCAGCGACGCCGCGUGAGUGAAGAAGUAUUUCGGUAUGUAAAGCUCUAUCAGCAGGGACGAAAGGAGUCUGUAAGGACUCUGUGACGGUACCUGACUAAGAAGCCCCGGCUAACUACGUGCCAGCAGCCGCGGUAAUACGUAGGGGGCAAGCGUUAUCCGGAUUUACUGGGUGUAAAGGGAGCGUAGACGGUGAUGUAAGUCAGAUGUGAAAGCCCGGGGCUCAACCCCGGGACUGCAUUUGAAACUAUGUUGCUAGAGUGCAGGAGAGGUAAGUGGAAUUCCUAGUGUAGCGGUGAAAUGCGUAGAUAUUAGGAGGAACACCAGUGGCGAAGGCGGCUUACUGGACUGUAACUGACGUUGAGGCUCGAAAGCGUGGGGAGCAAACAGGAUUAGAUACCCGUGUAGUCC